RNAcentral lists this ribosomal RNA (904 nucleotides) under uncultured Bacteroidota bacterium. RNAcentral's name for it is "bacterial SSU rRNA". It matches the Rfam family "Bacterial small subunit ribosomal RNA", at positions 8 to 916 of the family's 1533-position model. The record is from RNAcentral. Lineage: Bacteria; Pseudomonadati; Bacteroidota.
AGAGUUUGAUCCUGGCUCAGGAUGAACGCUAGCGGGAGGCCUAACACAUGCAAGCCGAGCGGUAUUGUUUCUUCGGAAAUGAGAGAGCGGCGUACGGGUGCGGAACACGUGUGCAACCUGCCUUUAUCUGGGGGAUAGCCUUUCGAAAGGAAGAUUAAUACUCCAUAAUAUAUUGAACGGCAUCGUUUAAUAUUGAAAGCUCCGGCGGAUAGAGAUGGGCGCGCGCAAGAUUAGCUAGUUGGUGAGGUAACGGCUCACCAAGGCAGUGAUCUUUAGGGGGCCUGAGAGGGUGAUCCCCCACACUGGUACUGAGACACGGACCAGACUCCUACGGGAGGCAGCAGUGAGGAAUAUUGGUCAAUGGGUGCAAGCCUGAACCAGCCAUCCCGCGUGAAGGACGACUGCCUAUGGGUUGUAAACUUCUUUUGUAUAGGGAUAAACCUUCCCACGUGUGGGAAGCUGAAGGUACUAUACGAAUAAGCACCGGCUAACUCCGUGCCAGCAGCCGCGGUAAUACGGAGGGUGCAAGCGUUAUCCGGAUUUAUUGGGUUUAAAGGGUCCGUAGGCGGACUUAUAAGUCAGUGGUGAAAGCCUGUCGCUUAACGAUAGAACUGCCAUUGAUACUGUAAGUCUUGAGUAUAAUUGAGGUAGCUGGAAUAAGUAGUGUAGCGGUGAAAUGCAUAGAUAUUACUUAGAACACCAAUUGCGAAGGCAGGUUACCAAGUUAUAACUGACGCUGAGGGACGAAAGCGUGGGGAGCGAACAGGAUUAGAUACCCUGGUAGUCCACGCCGUAAACGAUGCUAACUCGUUUUUGGGGCGCAAGCUUCAGAGACCAAGCGAAAGUGAUAAGUUAGCCACCUGGGGAGUACGCUCGCAGAGUGAAAACUCAAAGGAAUUGACGG